AGUAUCUCAACCACAUUCGUCGUGUGGCUUGGACUUGGAGGAAUGGUGCAGGCUCCUCACUUCCUUGGUGUAGUCUGCUCCUCUGAAAAAUAUGAGUGGUGCCUAUAUUUGGAACCUCUGGCUUAGGUGUGAUACAUAUCUGCAUCUAAUCCAGGUUAUCCGUUGGGCUGUGCUGCUGAUUAUUGACGACUCGAUAA
Molecule: unclassified non-coding RNA, 197 nt
Filed under: uncultured Inocybe
Lineage: Eukaryota; Fungi; Basidiomycota; Agaricomycetes; Agaricales; Cortinariaceae
Description: sequence contains ITS2
Source: RNAcentral